UCGAGUUGUGUUCAUCGAUAACCAAAACAGCGGCUUCCUGCUCUCCCCUGCAAACGCAACAGAGUCUUGCUUUGAGCUCCCCAACUUUUCACCCACCAUCACAGGAGUGCUCUGGGACAACUGGCAUGCAGGCAGAGGGGUGUUUGUAGCCUAUGAUGAUGACCAAGUCUACACCUAUGCCCUGCAUGAAACCACCAUCUAUGGCCCACAGGUGGUGUUAGUAGGGAGCACCGCGCUCCCCUUUUCCCAGAAGCCUCUGCUCUUUGACAAUGGUGAGCUGACCUGUCAAAUGUCGUGCGGUAAAA
Molecule: long non-coding RNA, 305 nt
Organism: Oreochromis niloticus (Nile tilapia)
Lineage: Eukaryota; Metazoa; Chordata; Actinopteri; Cichliformes; Cichlidae
Exons: 3
Source: RefSeq, a predicted model, not a curated record